GCCCAGCCGUAAACUUUUACUUACACCUAGAUCGCCAGGGAACUACGAGCUAAGCUUAAAACCCAAAGGACUUGACGGUACCCCAUAUCCCCCUAGAGGAGCCUGUCCUAUAAUCGAUAAUCCACGUUUAACCUCACCACUUCUAGUUAAUCAGCCUGUAUACCUCCGUCGUCAGCUUACCACGUGAGCGCCAAAUAGUGAGCCUAAUGUUAUUCCACCAAUACGUCAGGUCAAGGUGCAGCAUAUGAAGUGGAAAGAGAUGGGCUACACUUUCUACCAUAGAAGAAACGAAAAACUACUUAUGAAACCUAGUUGGAAGGCGGAUUUAGCAGUAAAAAGGAAUCAGCACGUCCUUUUUAACCCGGCACUGGGGUGUGU
This 378-nucleotide ribosomal RNA is filed under the name Sclerophrys mauritanica (Moroccan toad). RNAcentral describes it as "partial 12S ribosomal RNA". It matches the Rfam family "Bacterial small subunit ribosomal RNA", at positions 794 to 1384 of the family's 1533-position model. Lineage: Eukaryota; Metazoa; Chordata; Amphibia; Anura; Bufonidae. The record is from RNAcentral.